UUUGAUCCUGGCUCAGGAUGAACGCUAGCUACAGGCUUAACACAUGCAAGCCGAGGGGCAGCAUGGUCUUAGCUUGCUAAGACUGAUGGCGACCGGCGCACGGGUGAGUAACACGUAUCCAACCUGCCGUCUACUCUUGGACAGCCUUCUGAAAGGAAGAUUAAUACAAGAUGGCAUCAUGAGUCCGCAUGUUCACAUGAUUAAAGGUAUUCCGGUAGACGAUGGGGAUGCGUUCCAUUAGAUAGUAGGCGGGGUAACGGCCCACCUAGUCUUCGAUGGAUAGGGGUUCUGAGAGGAAGGUCCCCCACAUUGGAACUGAGACACGGUCCAAACUCCUACGGGAGGCAGCAGUGAGGAAUAUUGGUCAAUGGGCGAGAGCCUGAACCAGCCAAGUAGCGUGAAGGAUGACUGCCCUAUGGGUUGUAAACUUCUUUUAUAAAGGAAUAAAGUCGGGUAUGCAUACCCGUUUGCAUGUACUUUAUGAAUAAGGAUCGGCUAACUCCGUGCCAGCAGCCGCGGUAAUACGGAGGAUCCGAGCGUUAUCCGGAUUUAUUGGGUUUAAAGGGAGCGUAGAUGGAUGUUUAAGUCAGUUGUGAAAGUUUGCGGCUCAACCGUAAAAUUGCAGUUGAUACUGGAUAUCUUGAGUGCAGUUGAGGCAGGCGGAAUUCGUGGUGUAGCGGUGAAAUGCUUAGAUAUCACGAAGAACUCCGAUUGCGAAGGCAGCCUGCUAAGCUGCAACUGACAUUGAGGCUCGAAAGUGUGGGUAUCAAACAGGAUUAGAUACCCUGGUAGUCCACACGGUAAACGAUGAAUACUCGCUGUUUGCGAUAUACUGCAAGCGGCCAAGCGAAAGCGUUAAGUAUUCCACCUGGGGAGUACGCCGGCAACGGUGAAACUCAAAGGAAUUGACGGGGGCCCGCACAAGCGGAGGAACAUGUGGUUUAAUUCGAUGAUACGCGAGGAACCUUACCCGGGCUUAAAUUGCAGAUGAAUUACGGUGAAAGCCGUAAGCCGCAAGGCAUCUGUGAAGGUGCUGCAUGGUUGUCGUCAGCUCGUGCCGUGAGGUGUCGGCUUAAGUGCCAUAACGAGCGCAACCCUUGUUGUCAGUUACUAACAGGUUCCGCUGAGGACUCUGACAAGACUGCCAUCGUAAGAUGUGAGGAAGGUGGGGAUGACGUCAAAUCAGCACGGCCCUUACGUCCGGGGCUACACACGUGUUACAAUGGGGGGUACAGAGGGCCGCUACCACGCGAGUGGAUGCCAAUCCCCAAAACCUCUCUCAGUUCGGACUGGAGUCUGCAACCCGACUCCACGAAGCUGGAUUCGCUAGUAAUCGCGCAUCAGCCACGGCGCGGUGAAUACGUUCCCGGGCCUUGUACACACCGCCCGUCAAGCCAUGGGAGCCGGGGGUACCUGAAGUGCGUAACCGCGAGGAGCGCCCUAGGGUAAAACUGGUGACUGGGGCUAAGUCGUAACAAGGUAACC
Molecule: ribosomal RNA, 1485 nt
Filed under: uncultured Bacteroides sp.
Lineage: Bacteria; Pseudomonadati; Bacteroidota; Bacteroidia; Bacteroidales; Bacteroidaceae
Description: bacterial SSU rRNA
Rfam family: Bacterial small subunit ribosomal RNA
Source: RNAcentral